UGGUAUCUCCCAUUGCCACUGCACAGC
Molecule: non-coding RNA, 27 nt
Filed under: Homo sapiens (human)
Lineage: Eukaryota; Metazoa; Chordata; Mammalia; Primates; Hominidae
Source: RNAcentral